RNAcentral lists this transfer RNA (70 nucleotides) under Ithaginis cruentus. RNAcentral describes it as "tRNA-Ile". The record is from RNAcentral. Lineage: Eukaryota; Metazoa; Chordata; Aves; Galliformes; Phasianidae.
GGAAUCGUGCCUGAAUAAAGGGUCACUAUGAUAAAGUGAACAUAGAGGUGCAACAACCCUCUCGCUUCCU